This 460-nucleotide ribosomal RNA is filed under the name uncultured bacterium. RNAcentral's name for it is "partial 16S ribosomal RNA". It matches the Rfam family "Bacterial small subunit ribosomal RNA", at positions 338 to 795 of the family's 1533-position model. The record is from RNAcentral.
CCUACGGGAGGCAGCAGUGAGGAAUAUUGGUCAAUGGACGAGAGUCUGAACCAGCCAAGUAGCGUGAAGGAUGACUGCCCUAUGGGUUGUAAACUUCUUUUAUAAAGGAAUAAAACGAGGCACGUGUGCCUUUUUGCAUGUACUUUAUGAAUAAGGAUCGGCUAACUCCGUGCCAGCAGCCGAGGUAAUACGGAGGAUCCGAGCGUUAUCCGGAUUUAUUGGGUUUAAAGGGAGCGUAGAUGGGUUGUUAAGUCAGUUGUGAAAGUUUGCGUCUCAACCGUAAAAUUGCAAUUGAUAAUGGCAGUCGUGAGUACAGUUGAGGUAAGCGGAAUUCGUGGUGUAGCGGUGAAAUGCUUAGAUAUCACGAAGAACCCCGAUUGCGAAGGCAGCUUACUAAACUGUGACUGACAUUGAUGCUCGAAAGUGUGGGUAUCAAACAGGAUUAGAUACCCGAGUAGUC